Molecule: long non-coding RNA, 1756 nt
Filed under: Homo sapiens (human)
Lineage: Eukaryota; Metazoa; Chordata; Mammalia; Primates; Hominidae
Description: HSALNT0305657
Source: RNAcentral
UAUAAAGCUGCCCCUCUCUUAUCUCCCUUCACUGACUGUCUUUUUGGACUCAGCCCACUUGCAUCCGAGUGAAUAAACAGCCUUGCUGCUUACACAAAGCCUGUUUAGGUGGUCUUCUAUAUGGACACGCAUGACAAUAUUUACAACAAAUACCAAGGAAGAGCUAAGAGCACAUAGCAUUUCCCAGGCUUAUUAGACUGUGGGAUCAACCUCUUUAAGAAAGCAUUUUGCAGAAUUGUUGUUCACAGGUCAUUCUGCAGUGUGAAGUUUUUUUUGCAAUAAGAUCCUUACUCUAGAGUUAACUUCACUAGGAAGUACACUCUGGGUGUUUACCUUUAGAGCUUCAGUUUCUACAAGAAUUUGGCACCGGUUGGGUCUUGUAGAAAUAUUUACUGCAUGGAGUUGAAAGAAGAGUCUGGACUGGGAGAAGGAUGUAUGGAUAAAGAACAAGUCAUUUCAACCUGUUCCCUGGGAUCAUGUCAGGAGUGUGAGCUGUGCUGACCUGUAUAAAGAGACAUCACAACAGGUCAACAGAGAUGAAACAGAGCUGAAGAAACAAGCUAGAGAUGAUGAAUAGAAUCAGCCUACACCCAGUGCUCACCCCGAGACAGGCUACAGCCAAGAAAUCUCCAUCACAAACCCAAUGCCAGUGUUCUGGGGUAGGUGGAGCAGGUGUUGCUGUCCACAUACCUGAGCCUCAGAACUUCUUCCGGGAUUAUGUGACUCAUAAAUCCAGCAACAAGAACUGACUUUUCCUGGCUGUCAUUUCAGGGUUCUUUUCAGAAAACCAAGCAGCUACUGGAUACUGACCUUAUUCUAAAGGCCAACAGAAGUGGAAUAAGGUGCAAUUUGGAAUUCAAUCAAUAUUGAAGGAUGACGGUGACCUUUGGGAAAUAGGAUUCAGCGAUGUCUUUUUAAAUUCUGUUAUUUGUACAUAACGCACUCUUACAGAUUUUUUAAAAAAUCCAAUUCCACAUGAAAAACUUUUACACUGAAUUUAUUACAUUUUUAAAAAUACAUAAACUCAGACUUUAUUUUUUAUUUUUUCUUAUUUCCCUUGCUGCUGCCUAUAGGAUCUUGCACACUUGUGGCCAGUCACUCUAAAAGCAGCAAGCAUGUCUCAUGGGACUACAAACAGAGAGGCAUGCAUUUGUAUUUUUGUGGUCCUAGGACAUGGGACCAGUGCUCAUGCUGUAGGGGUUUGUGCCCAGGGAGGCUUGAGGAUGCCUGAGAAAAAGUGAUUGGGUGUCUAAACUCCAUGGCAAAAUGUCGCUUCCUAAAUAUGCCAUCUGAGUCCUUGAGAGUUGUAAUUACUCAUGGUGGCAUUCUAGCCCUGUCCUCUUUCAGCCUUAAUAAAAAAAUCAACCAACAAGUAGUGAACAUGAGACCUAAAAUGUGCUCCUUUGCGUUGAUUAUUUCUUGGCAAAUCAUGUUUUAGAAGCUCAUUAGCAGUAUGUUUUAUCAAAGAAAUAAAAGAGUUUCACACUUUCUUUUCUCUCAAUUAUCCUGUGAUAUUUCUAUUUCCUUUUGCUGAUAUCUCAGUGAGUAAAUUUACUCCUGGACAUUAUUUUAACUCAUUUUGAUGCAAACUGACUGAGGGAUAAGUAAUUGUGAAUUACUGAGGUCAAGCAGGAGGUUAUGCAUAUCGCUUUUAAAUGUUACUGACACAUCUACCAUUUUCUUAUGAGAAGUUUAUUGUUGGACCAUGUUUUCUUAGUACUUUUAAUUAAUUUACCAAUUCAAUGUAAGGGUCUUG